Ipomoea nil (Japanese morning glory) is the source of this 276-nucleotide long non-coding RNA. RefSeq lists it as uncharacterized. NCBI's taxonomy places the organism in Eukaryota, Viridiplantae, Streptophyta, Magnoliopsida, Solanales, Convolvulaceae. The transcript has 3 exons. The record is from RefSeq and is a predicted model, not a curated record.
CAAGUUUAGAAAUCGGACUUGAAUAUCUAUCGCUUUUCAUUACAUAUUUCACUCCUUUACACCAGAAGCAAAUGCCUGACUAUGUUAUACAAACCUUCCCAAAGGAGAAAACGCCAUUUUUUGUCUGCUACAAUUAUCUCAGCUCGUUAUGUUUUUACUUGCAUUCUUUAACAUCCUAACCAGCUGAGAUAAUUCAAUUUACAUUAUUUGGUAGGCACUUGGCAGGAAUAGAAUUGCUAGGAAUUGAGAGGGAAGAAGUGAAUAGAGACUAAAAUG